Molecule: long non-coding RNA, 651 nt
Filed under: Homo sapiens (human)
Lineage: Eukaryota; Metazoa; Chordata; Mammalia; Primates; Hominidae
Description: non-protein coding lnc-SERPINB3-3:2
Source: RNAcentral
UGACUAUCCACAGGCAGGGCUAGAAAAGGGAGUGGAACAUUUUACUUAGGCAGGAAGCACUGAAGAGAAGAAUCUUUUUUUCAGUAGACAUUUGUGGGAAAUAAAAAUUUGUUUAGAAGAAUUUAGGCCAAGAGAUAAAAUGGUCUUCUUUUGACUGAGGAGAGAUAAGAUAGAUUUUAAGCAGACAUCUGAAGUUAAAGGAGAGGUGUCUCCAGCUUCUGAUUUUGAUGACAUCUCCCAGAGAGGACCGUGUUGCCAUCACCAUCCCAGAGUCUGAAAGUGUCCAGGAAAUAUCAAUGAAAUCAUGGAAUUUUGAAGAAGAUACAACAAUUUUAUUUCUGCUACAACAGACGUUCUGCUAAUGGAACAGAAGUCAGCGAAGGACCUAUUAGGUUUUAGGUCACUUAUUACUCAAAGUUUAUACAUUCUACACUAAGUUAUUUAUUGCUCAAAUUUAUCUCAUAUUUAUUCCUAGAUUGUGUGUAUUAAUACAAGGCCCAGAAAAGUUGAAUAAUGUACAGUAUAUUUCAAGUAUUAUAAUUAAAAACUUAGAGAUUUAGCCCAGGUUUAUCUGAACCAAUAUCUUCUGUUUUUUUCACUCAAAUAUUUUGAGGAUGAGCAUUAUUUAGCAGUGAAUAGGUGUGUUCUUAG